RNAcentral lists this ribosomal RNA (498 nucleotides) under uncultured bacterium. RNAcentral's name for it is "bacterial SSU rRNA". It matches the Rfam family "Bacterial small subunit ribosomal RNA", at positions 899 to 1397 of the family's 1533-position model. The record is from RNAcentral.
ACUCAAAGGAAUUGACGGGGGCCCGCACAAGCGGAGGAACAUGUGGUUUAAUUCGAUGAUACGCGAGGAACCUUACCCGGGCUCGAACGGCGAGUGGAUAUGUAAGAGAUUGCAUAGUCAGCAAUGACACUUGUCGAGGUGCUGCAUGGUUGUCGUCAGCUCGUGCCGUGAGGUGUCGGCUUAAGUGCCAUAACGAGCGCAACCCUUGUUGUCAGUUGCCAUCAGGUAAAGCUGGGGACUCUGGCGAGACUGCCACCGUAAGGUGAGAGGAAGGGGGGGAUGACGUCAAAUCAGCACGGCCCUUACGUCCGGGGCGACACACGUGUUACAAUGGGUGGUACAGAGGGAAGCAACUAUGUGAAUAGGCGCGAAUCUCCAAAGCCACUCUCAGUUCGGAUUGGAGUCUGCAACUCGACUCCAUGAAGUUGGAUUCGCUAGUAAUCGCGCAUCAGCCAUGGCGCGGUGAAUACGUUCCCGGGCCUUGCACACACCGCCCGU